This 69-nucleotide transfer RNA is filed under the name Velarifictorus hemelytrus. RNAcentral describes it as "tRNA-Gln". The record is from RNAcentral. Lineage: Eukaryota; Metazoa; Arthropoda; Insecta; Orthoptera; Gryllidae.
UGAAUUAUAAUGUAUGACGCAUGGAAAAUUUUGAAUUUUCAAGUAAUAGUUUAAUUCUAUUUAAUUCAA